AAUUCUUCAGCUGCAACAGAGGACCGAAGGGGAAAACAGCAGCUCGAAAACAAGAUCCUGAAGACAGAAGAAAAUCAGCAGCUGAUGGACAAGACAAAGGAAUUUACGGCUGAGAAACGAUGCCCUAUGUGACUGUGUAGUUUGGCAGAGGUAAAGUGCCAGGUUGAGAGGCAGAGAAACUCCUACGACAGAAGGAGAAAGUCCUGCAACUAUAGACCGAAGAAGCAGCGCGGAUGGCGAGGCUCAUCCAGGAAGAAAACGACGCAACCGAAAAACGCGAAUUCGGCAGGAAAGACGUCGAUGUGAGGUUCCAGCGCCUGCAGAAUGAAGUGGAAGACAUGACAAAGGAAAAGGGUGGACUCCAG
Macrobrachium nipponense is the source of this 365-nucleotide long non-coding RNA. RefSeq lists it as uncharacterized. Lineage: Eukaryota; Metazoa; Arthropoda; Malacostraca; Decapoda; Palaemonidae. The transcript is spliced from 2 exons. The record is from RefSeq and is a predicted model, not a curated record.